This 23852-nucleotide long non-coding RNA is filed under the name Triticum aestivum (bread wheat). Its description in RNAcentral is "long non-coding RNA (TAES_LNC022584)". The record is from RNAcentral. Lineage: Eukaryota; Viridiplantae; Streptophyta; Magnoliopsida; Poales; Poaceae.
UGUCUUAAGGUGUUACUUUACUACGAACUCUAGGGCUGUUUGUGACACUUAUAGGAAUAGCCCAGUGGAUUGAUCGGAAAGAAUAACUUUGAGCUGGUUUCGUACCCUACAAUGAUCUCUUCGUUUGUUCUCUGCUAUUAGUGACUUUGGAGUGACUCUUUGUUGCAUGUUGAGGGAUUGUUAUAUGAUCUAAUUAUGUUAUUAUUGUUGAGAGAACUUGCACUAGUGAAAGUAUGAACCCUAGGCCUUGUUUUGAAGCAUUGCAAUACCGUUUUCGCUCACUUUUACCACUUUCUACCUUGCUGUUUUUAUAAUUUCAUAUUACAAAAAUAUAUAUCUACCAUCCAUAUUGCACUUGUAUCACCAUAUCUUCGUCGAACUAGUGCACCUAUACAAUUUACCAUUGUAUUGGGUGUGUUGGGGACACAAGAGACUCUUUGUUAUUUGGUUGCAGGGUUGUUUGAGAGAGACCAUCUUCAUCCUAUGCCUCCCACAGAUUGAUAAACCUUAGGUCAUCCACUUGAGGGAAAUUUGCUAUUGUCCUACAAACCUCUGCACUUGGAGGCCCAACAACGUCUACAAGAAGGUUGCGUAGUAGACAUCUGCUCAAGACAAAAACUUUUGACAAGUUGCGGAAAUGCGGCAGGCGCUGACUUGAUUAGCUGCCGAUGGUUCUUUGGUCAAUCAGGAUGACACCAAAUCAAGCUACUGGUGAGACUCCCUUCUCCCUAGUAUAUGGUGCAAAAGCAUUACUCCCCAUAGAACUCGCAUACAGGUCGCCUCAAGUACUUGCCUAUGAUUAAGUAGUGCAAGAGCAGCUGCGGCAUGACGAUGCCGCGCUCCUUGAGGAGGAUCGUCUCCGGGCAACUGUACGUGAUGCACAAUACCAGCAAGCCUUGCGCCGCUAUCACAGCCGCCAGGUUCACACCCGGAGCUUUGAGGAGGGCGACCUUGUCCUUAGGCGCGUUGAUGUAGGGGGGAACCCUAUGGGGCCGAUCUUUCACGUUUGGAGAGGAUCCUAUGGGGAACACGAAGAACGCGCGGAAGAACACGAGGGAGAACACGAGGGGAAAACAAGAGAAACACUCAAGCGACAUGAAAUUGAUCACACAAGUGCUAGAUCAUCGAGGGCACAAAGUAACACGAGAUCCAGAGUCAACAAGGGACGAUACAAGAGUAACCGUUCUUCUCCGUGAGGAGGUCUUGAUUGUCUUCUCCGGAUGGAGUCCUUGAAUCCGGAUGGAUCUUCUCCGAAGAGGUGCGGUCCCUCACGAGGAGUAGAUCUAGUACGGAUGAGAAAUGCUCUAUCUCAAAUGAGCUAAACCAAUGCUAACACUAAAACGUAGGAGGAGAUGGAGUAUAUAUAGUCUAGGGGCGAAGGGGGUACAUGGGCCUCGGCCCUUACACUAUUCGCAGACAGGGAAGGCCGGAUGUCCGGGCGUCGGGCCGGAUGUCCGGUGGUUCGCGAGGGGCCGGAUGUCCGGGCUGAAGGGCUGGAUGUCUGGGCUGGUGGAGACGGCCGUGCUACUCUCUGGAUGGGCGAUGCCGGAUGUCCGGGCAGAGGGGCCGGAUUUCCGGGCCUUUGGGAGGCGUCGGAUGUCCUAGGUGAUGACCGGAUGUCUGGGCUGUCUGGGCCACCUUUUGUGCUCCCUGGAUGGUGCCUCUGGAUGUCCGGGCUGGAGGCCGGAUUUCCGGUGAGGAGGGCCGGAUGUCCGGGCCCUGUAUCUUUUGCUGCAGAUGCCUUGCGGUGGUGCAGAUCUCCAGGGGUCGGAUGUCCGGGACCUUGGCCGGAUGUCCGGUGCCUAGAGGUUGUUCUCGCUUUCUUCUGUUGGUUCUCUUCUUUCGUGGACUUGGGGUCUUGACCAUCUUCAUGGGCAUCCUUGGGGGGGGGGGUCCUCUUGGUACCUAAUCAUGCACAACAUUCCGGACUUAGGUAGUAACCAUGUCUCAACAGGAUCAUAUGAGAUAUCACUAAGGAGAGAAGUCACCUCGGUCUCGAGAGCUCUAGCUCGUGCUCUAGUCAUGGGUCCUCUUGGUGCUUGGUGAGACGAUGGAAGGUCCAUGGGGAUGACCGAAGGAUGCUCCGCAUCAUCUCCCCCCCCCCUUGGGGAAGAUCCGGCCUCGGAUCGAAAUCCUCAUCACCAUGGUACUGGGAGAGAUCGGUGACGUUGAAGAUGUCGCUCAUGUUGUUCUUGUCGCGUGGGAGAUAGAUCUUGUAAGCGUUGUUGUUGUAGCGUGCUAGCACCUUGAAAGGUCCAUCGGCUCGAGGUAGAAGUUUGGACUUGCAUUCAUUGGGGAAGCGGUCCUUGCGAAGGUGUAGCCACACGAGAUCUCCAAUGUUGAAUAUCAUGGGUUGCUUGUUGACGUUGAGCUUGGUCGCGAGUCGUUGUACUUGGCGCUCGAUGGUGUGCCUUGUAUCUUCAUGCAUCUUCUUGAUGUAGCUCGCACGGGCACUUGCGUCUAGGUUGGUGCGCUCUUGUAGAGGAAGAGGUAGAAUGUCCAAUGGGGACAACGGGUUGAAGCCAUAGACGAACUCGAAGGGGGACUUGCCGGUAGUCGAAUUUCUUGCACGGUUGUAGGCGUACUCGGCAAUGGGUAUACACUCCUCCCACUCCUUGAUGUUCUUCUUGAUUAACACGCGAAGUAGAGUGGAGAGCGUACGGUUCGUCACCUCCGUUUGGCCGUCGGUUUGAGGAUGGUAUGCGGAUGAGAACAAGAGCUUGAUUCCGAGCUUGGCGCAUAGCGUCUUCCAAAAGUAACUGAAGAACUUGAUGUCGCGGUCAGAGACGAUUGUCUUUGGUACUCCAUGGAGUCGCAAGAUUUCCCUACAAAGGAGAUUUGCAACGUGUGAAGCAUCGUCUAUCUUGUUGCAAGGAAUGAAAUGUGCCAUCUUAGAAAAUCGGUCCACAACAACAAACACGGAAUCCUUGCCAUUUUGAGUUCUAGGAAAACCAAGUACAAAAUCCAUGCUAAUGUCUUCCCAAGGUUGAUAAGGAAUAGGAAGAGGCACGUAAAGACCAUGGGAUUGAGCUUUAGACUUAGCUUUGCGACAUGUAGAGCAUCGGUUGGUGAAGCGUGAGACAUCGCGGAACAUCUUGGGCCAAAAGUAGUUUUUGGAGAGUGUGGUGAAUGUCUUGUCACGUCCAAAAUGUCCCAUGAGUCCGCCUCCAUGAGCCUCUUGCAAAAGGAGCAAACGAAGAGAAGACUCGAGAAUGCAAAGUUUGUUAGCUCUCAUAAGAUAAUCAUCCUUUAUGUAAUAUUGUUCCCAAUAUGUAUGCAUCAAACACUUAGCAUAAGGAGUAGCAAAAGAUGGAUCAUUAGCAUACAAGUCUUUUAUGUGCUCAAAGCCAAUAGCAUUCAACUCAAGCUUAGUGACAAGCGUGCAUAUGCGUGAAAGUGCAUCCGCAACUACAUUUUCCUUACCCUUAAUGUACUUGAUUACAUAGAGGAAAGAUUCAAUAAAUUCACUCCAUUUGGCAUGACGCUUGUUCAACUUAGUUUGACCUUUUAAGUACUUAAGCGUUUCAUGAUCGGUAUGGAUGACAAACUCAUGAGGUCUAAGGUAAUGCUCCCAAACAUUUAGCACGCGCACUAAAGCAAACAAUUCUUUGUCAUAGGUGGGAUAGUUAAGUUGAGCACCGGAGAGUUUUUCACUAAAAUAAGCAAUGGCUCGUUUUUCUUGCAUUAAAACUCCUCCAAUUCCGGUACCACUUGCAUCACAAUGAACCUCAAAAGUUUUGUCAAAGUUGGGCAAAGCAAGAAUCGGAGCAUGAAUAAGCAAAGACUUGAGCUUAUCAAAAGCGGUGGAUUGCAAAGAUCCCCAAACAAAAGGAGCAUUCUUCUUACUCAAGGCAUGCAAAGGAGCGGCAAUAGUGCUAAAAUCCUUCACAAAGCGACGGUAAAAACCUGCAAGGCCAAGAAAACUACACACUUGUUGCAAAUUGGUGGGUUGGGGCCACGUUUUAAUUGCUUCAGUUUUAGAUUCAUCGACAUGGACACCCUUGGAAGAAACGACAAAACCCAAGAAAACAAGUUUGUCAACACCAAACGUGCACUUUUUCAUGUUGGCAUAAAGACAUUCCUUGCAAAGCAUUUGCAAAACAGCCCUAACAUGCUUUAGAUGCUCUUUCAUGGAUUUCUUAAACACAAUCAAAGUAAACCACAACAAACACUCCAAUAUAAGGACGAAGCACAAAAUGCAUAAGUCUCAUGAAAGUACCAGGAGCUUCCGAUAAACCCAUAGGCAUGACCAACCACUCGUACAAGCCAAAUUUGGUUUUGAAAGCGGUUUUUCACUCAUCACCUUCUUGUAUGUGGAUUUGAUAAUAGCCACUUUUAAGAUCAAUUUUUGAGAAAAAGGCGGCACUGCUAAGUUCAUCAAGCAUAUCAUCUAGGCGAGGAAUGGGAUGCCUAUAGCGAACGGUGAUAGAAUUAAUGGGUCUACAAUCAGAACACAUGCGAUAACUUCCGUCUUGCUUAGGGACAAGUAUAACCGGAAUGGCACAAGGGCUUAAGCUUUCACAUACAUGAACAUUGUCAAUUAGUUGUUGUACUUGCCGUUGGAUCUCCUUAGUUUCUUCGGGGUUGACGCGGUAUGGAGCUUUGUUUGGUAGGGGCGCUCCGGGGAUGAGGUUGAUUCGAUGCUCAAUGCCUCGUAGAGGAGGUAGACCCAGAGGUAGCUCAUCGGGGAAAACAUCUUGGAAUUCCUGCAAAAGAGAUUGAAACACUAAAGGUAGAUCGUGAAAGGUGUUAGUUUUUGGGUCCCCAUCCUUGCACACAAGGACAAAGUGCAUAACACGCGAUGGGUUCUCACAUAGUUCUCUCAUCUCACUUUUGGUGGCAAAUAGGACUAAGUUUUUCUCUCUAGGCGAAGAGGAGCUCAAGUUUGGCUUGUGGCUCUCACUCACUUUUUGGUGGAUCACUUUCUCACUCUUCUCUCCACGAUGGGUGGCUUGCUUGUCGGCUAUCACUUGACUAGGAGACAUAGGUCAUAGCACAUAUUCCUUCCCUUUCAUCUUGAAGCUAUAGUGAUUGGUACGCCCAUUGUGGAUGACCCCAUGGUCGAAUUGCCAAGGCCUACCAAGAAGGAGGUGGCAAACAGACAUCGGGACGACAUCACACUCCAAAGUGUCCUCAUAUGCACCAAUUUUGAAGGAGACUUGGAUCAUAUGCUCAACUCGUAUAGUGCCGGAGUCACUUAGCCAUUGGACUUUGUAUGGGUGCGGGUGCUUCAUCUUGACCAAUUGAAGCUUGGAGCAUAGUUCUUCACUUGCCAAGUUGUGACAACUACCUCCAUCGAUGAUGACCUUGACAGACCUUCCAUUGAUGCCGGCCUUUGUGUGGAAGAUGUGGCAUCUUUGGUCUUCUUCUUGUUGAUGUUGAAGAGUCAAAACUUUGGAGACAACGAGAGCGGGGCUCAAAUCGUCAUCACAAAAUACUUGAUCAUCUUCAUCCUCGUUCAUGCGCCGGUGCAUGGCCACUUUCUCAAGGGCUUCCAUCUCCUCGUCACUCAUGGAGUCAUAGGUUCCAUCAUUGUUGAGGAUCAUGGUGCACUUGUUUGUGCAUUCAUAGGACUUGUGGCCUCGGCCGCCGCAAGUGAAACACUUGAAGGAGCUUGUCUUGAUGGUCUCAUCGGUCGGAGUAGAGGAUGAAGCAUGCGGCUUGAAGUUGCUUGUAGUAGGAGGAAGACGACUUGCGCUUGUCAAAGUUUUCUUGUAACUUGACUUGUCGUCAUUGCUUGUAGAUGGCUUGGUUGAGGUAGAAGUUGGAGGAGUCGUUGAAGCUUGGUUGUUGGAGAAGCCGUAGGUCUUGUAUGAGUACUUGGCGUACUUGAAGUCAUCUUGCACUUGGCGUUCCGCCUUGGUAGCUUGAUGUCACGCCCAAUAUGCGAUACUAUCCUAAAGAGACUCGAAGGUCCCACCAAGGAUAGAACCGCAUAUUGAAACACUUUUGCAAGGUGGAUAUCAUUACAUCAACAUUACAUAAUAGCUAGGGAUACAUACAAAAGGCAUACAAAGCCACACGAAUACAACAUCAUCUUACAUAAGAGCACCGUCCAACUACGGAUGAAACACAAACAGAAACUCAAACGACAUCCACCCUGCUAGCCCAGGCUGCCGACCUGGAACCUAUCCCCUGAUCGAAGAAGACGCAGAAGAAGAACUCCGAAACAAGCAACAUUGCUCUCACGUCAGGAUCAUCGCAAAACCUGCACCUGCAACUGAUGUUGUAGUAAUCUGUGAGCCACGAGGACUCAGCAAUCCCAUUACCAUGGGUAUCAAGACUAGCAAAGCUUAAUGGGUAAGGAAAAGGUAAAGUGGUGAGGUUGCAGCAGCGACUAAGCAUGACAUGGUGGCUAACAUAUGCAAAUAAGAGCGAGAAGAGAAGCAAGCGGAACGGUCGUGAAGCUAGCAAUGAUCAAGAGGUGAUCCUGAACUCCUACUUACGUCAAACAUAACCCAAACAAUGUUCACUUCCCGGACUCCGCUGAAAAGAGACCAUCACGGCUACACACGUGGUUGAUGCGUUUUAAUUCGGAUCUGGUGUCAAGUUAUCUACAACCGGACAUUAACAAAUUCCCAUCUGCCACAUAACCAUGGGCACGGCUUUCGAAAGAUAAUACCCUGCAGGGGUGUCCCAACUUAGCCCAUGAUAAGCUCUCGCGAUCAACGAAGGAUAUACCUUCUCCCAGGAAGACCCGAUCAGUCUCGGAAUCCCGGUUUACAAGACAUUUCGGCAAUGGUAAAACAAGACCAGCAAAACCACCCAAUGUGCCGACAAAUCCCGAUAGGAGCUGCACAUAUCUUGUUCUCAGGGCACACCAGAUGAGCAAGACGUCGGGUUGGCAUAGACCCUGGUUGCCCAGGGGGCGCCGGACAUCGCUCAGGUUGGACCAACACUCGGAGGAGCACGGGCCCGGGGGGGUAAAAUAAAGAUGACCCUCGGGCUCUAGAAACCCAAGGGAAAAAGGGCUAGGUGAGGCAAAUGGUAAAACCAAGGUUGGGCCUUGCUGGAGGAGUUUUAUUCAAAGCGAACUGUCAAGGGGGUCCCAUAAAUCACCCAACCGCGUAAGGAACGCAAAAUCCGGGAACAUAACACCGGUAUGACGGAAACUAGGGCGGCAAGAGUGGAACAAAACACCAGGCAUAAGGCCGAGUCUUCCACCCUUUACCAAGUAUAUAGAUGCAUUAAUUAAAUAAGAGAUAUUGUGAUAUCCCAACAUAAUCCUGUCCACCAUGGAGCAAUCUUCAACUUCACCUGCAACUAACAACGUUAUAAGAGGGGCUGAGCAAAGCGGUAACAUAGCCAAGCAACGGUUUGCUAGGAAGGGUAAAAAGGUUAGAGGCUGACAUGGCAAUUUGGGAGGCUUGAAGAGCAAAUGAUAGGUAGCGCAGCAUAGCGAUAGAACGAAGCAACUAGCAUAGCAAUGAUAGUAAUGAGAUCCAAGGUGACGGUCAUCUUGCCUGAAAUCCCGCAAGAAAGAAUAACGAGUCCAUGAAGAAGAUGAAGCCACGAAGACGAACCAAGCGUAGACGAAUGAAUCCUCACGAUCGCAACGAAACGGGAACUAUCGAGAAGAAGCACACAACAUGGUAAACACACCACACAUGAACAAGGCAUGAUGCACAAACAAGCAUGAUGCAUGACAAGACUACAUGAAGCUACUCAUGGCAAGAGAUGAUGCAAACAAGAACAACACAUCAAGGCAAGUUUAAAUGAGGCCGGGAACAACAUAUAACAAUUCCGGUAAGUCCUCACAUGCAAAUUUCGAAAUUGGUCCAGAUCUGAAUAAACCUUAUAUUCAAGUUGUUAAACAGCAAGUUAAGAUGCACCAAGAUGACCUACACGAGAUUCUAGUCAAGUUACAUAUAAAAUUCAUUUAAUUCGGAGCUACGGUCUAGAAGAUAUGAGUAAAACAAGUUAAACAUGGCAUUGAUGCAAAAUGCAUACAACCAUCAAGCAAACACACCAAAACAAGGAUGCAACAUGAUAAUAUGAAACUACAUGCAAAAACAAGCAAGUUUCAUAUAGAGCACACUCAAAAAGGAGCAACGGUUCAACACACACACAUGAAACAACUUAUAAUAACAAUCUGACCAAAACAGCGACUAGGCAUAUUGCAAGCAUCAAAACAACAUGCUACAGUACCACAAUAUGAAAAAAAAGACAUGGACAUGAUGUACAGGUAAAGCAUAACAAAACAUGAACACUGAGCUAUCUCCAGAAAUCACUAGAACAUGCUCAAAACACAUGGCAAGAUUGCAAAUAAUAACAGUUUCAGACUUAUCAGGAAAUAACAUCAGGUUGCAAUGUUUAGAGCUAUCAAACAACAUGCUACAGGAACUUAUCAUGGCAAUCAAACGCAUGGCAUGCUACUACUAAAUACAUAGAACAAAAGUCCCUUACUGACCAUGAGCCAAAAGGGCACAGAAAAUAUGAUGGUACCCAUGUAAACAUAGCAAGUAAUAUGACAGAUUCAAACAUGCAGGAACAACGAUAAGUAGCCAUGUUGGUGAGCUUGUACCACUCAUCACAGAGCAAUAUAUGGCAUGACAAGGUGACCAACAGUAAGAAUACAUGUUUAUGAAGCUAAGCAUGGCAAGAGCAAGUUCAUAGCAUGCUUGGAUAACUAACAACAAUCAUGGUAACAUUGAACUUAAAGUUAACAGGCUGACAGCAACAAUAUUUAGCAAUUUGAGAGCAAGAUAACAACAAGCUAAAGCAGGCUAUAAAUGCAACCAGGGGCAUGAAUGGAUAUAGCAUGACAUGUAUAACAAACCAUCCUUAGUGAACAUCUCCAGAUUAUGCAUAGAAUGACUUGUAGCAGCAGGUUUACAUAGCAUCCCGAAAUAACAGAUUCAACCUAGCAAAACAGUAACAGCAAGUACCCUACUUAACAAGCUCGAUGCACUCACUACAAGAAUCACAAAAAUACAUGGAUAGCACCUAUGUAAAGAUGGCAUGUCAUAGAUCAAAACUCAUGUAGGACUCAUGCUCAAAGGAUGCACACAUCAAAUGCAACAAAAAUGACAAAUCAUCAAGUUAUAAAAGUUUCAGCAGAUUAACAUCAUAUAGCACUCUUGCAACAAUGAUUCAGGCAUCAAUAUGGACUCAAAUGAACAUGAUGCAAUGGAAUGAAAUGAAGUACUCGUCAAGACGAACAAUUUGACAUGCUACACGCCCAAAACGGGGCCACGGAUGCGGAGUUAUGAUGCGAUGAACAGGAGCUAAAAAUAUGCAAAUGCUUAGGGACUUCGGGAAAAUAAACGGGGUCAACCUCAGGAUUUUCCAGAUCUGGCGUGCGCGUGGACCGAGGUGGCCGGAGGAGCUCACCGGAGAUGCUCCGUAGGGCAGGGGAGGCCGGAUCCGGCGCGGAGGGGGAGGAGGUCACCGGCGAGGGAGGCACGCGGCCUCGGGAGGCGCGGCCCCGCGGCGGCGCUCCAAGGGGCGGCGACGGCNNNNNNNNNNNNNNNNNNNNNNNNNNNNNNNNNNNNNNNNNNNNNNNNNNNNNNNNNNNNNNNNNNNNNNNNNNNNNNNNNNNNNNNNNNNNNNNNNNNNNNNNNNNNNNNNNNNNNNNNNNNNNNNNNNNNNNNNNNNNNNNNNNNNNNNNNNNNNNNNNNNNNNNNNNNNNNNNNNNNNNNNNNNNNNNNNNNNNNNNNNNNNNNNNNNNNNNNNNNNNNNNNNNNNNNNNNNNNNNNNNNNNNNNNNNNNNNNNNNNNNNNNNNNNNNNNNNNNNNNNNNNNNNNNNNNNNNNNNNNNNNNNNNNNNNNNNNNNNNNNNNNNNNNNNNNNNNNNNNNNNNNNNNNNNNNNNNNNNNNNNNNNNNNNNNNNNNNNNNNNNNNNNNNNNNNNNNNNNNNNNNNNNNNNNNNNNGCGAGCGGCAGCGCUCCGGCGAUGCGAAGAGGCGCGGGAAGGCACGGGGCAUGCGGCCCGGUGUGGCCCGGGCGGGCCGCGGCGGCGCAGGGAGGAGAGAGGGGGCGCGGCGGCUGACUUGGCGCGCUCCGGUUGGCCGGGAGCGGCGGCACGAUGACAUGGCGGUGGCUGAUUCGCCGGGGUGAGGUGGAGGCUGGACGUGUCCGGCGGGAUUGGACAUGUCCGGCGGCGGGAGGAGUUUGGCUAGGGUUUGGACUGCGCGAAAAUUCAGGGAGGGGCACAUAUUUAUAGGUAGAGGGAGCUAGGAGAGUCCAAAUGGGGUGCGGUUUUCGCCCACACGAUCGUGAUCGAAUGACCAAGAGCAUGGAGGGGGUUUGGAUGGGUUUUGGGCCACUUUGGAGGGGUGUUGGGCUGCGCACAGAAGAGGCCUUAACGGUUACCCGGUUAACCGUUGGAGUACCAAACGACCUCCAAAUGACACGAAACUUGACAGGCGGUCUACCGGUACUAUACCAAGGCCGCUUGGCAAACCUUGGGCCAUUCCGAGAAAGUUUAACACCCACUCACAACAAGAGACAAAAGGGGGACGCCGGAGGACAUAGGAGUGUCGGAUUACAAAACGGGCAACAGGGAAAAUGCUCGGAUGCAUGAGAUGAACACGUAAGCAAAAUGAAAUGCACAUGAUGACAUGGCAAUAUGCAACACGCAAGAAAAUGACAUGGCAAUGACGGCGAAUAACUGGCAGACAUCUGGCGCAUCGAAUCCGGGGCGUUACACUUGAUGCACGAGCUCAAUGAGGUUGGAGUAGGGUUGGAAGUCGGCAAUCUUCUUGAUGGGAUGAUUGAGUCCAUUCAAGAAACGUUCCAUAGUUUGCUCAUCAUCUUCCGUGACAUUGGCUCGAAUCAUGGCUAUCUUCAUUUCCUUGUAGUAUUCUUCAACACUCUUUGUUCCUUGCUUGAGGAGUUGGAGUUUCUUGAAGAGAUCGCGGUUGUAGUAUGUGGGCACAAAACGUGCUCGCAUGACUUCCUUCAUUUGAGCCCAAGUGGUGAUUGGUGGUUCACCUCUUGUUUCAUGGCGCUCAAGGACUUGUUACCACCAUAUGAGCACAUAGUCUUGGAACUCAAGUGAUGCCAUAGCGAUCUUCUUCUCUUCCUCAUAGUUGUGCAAACGAAAGAUUUUGUUGACCUUCAAUGCCCAUCAGAGGUAUUAUUUGGGAUCAUUGCUUCCGUUGAACUUGGGCAUGGUGAAUUUUAGCUUGUCGUAGCGUUGCUCUUCAUUGUGUUGUUGGCGAUGGUGAUGAUGACGCCCUUGGCAUGGAGGAUAAUCAUCCUCAUGUUGCUCUUGGCGUGGAGGAAGUCCAUGAUCAACUUGCUCUUGUUGAACUUGAGGUUGUGGAGGAGCUUGAGGAACUUGACAUUACACGCGGUUGGUAAUUCCGCUCUUGGAUUUCUUCUUGAAGUGCUUCCUCUUGAUUGCGCUGAUCUCGGUUGCGGUUGGCAAUGGCUCGGCUUGAUUCUUGAAGGGCACGUUGCGCCUCAAGAGCUUGUGCUUCCUGUUGUUGUUGUUGAAGACGUUGAGCCUCGGCAUCUUGUUCCUCUUGAUGUAGACGUGCUCGUUCUUCCUCUUGGCGACGUAGACGUUGUCGUUCUUGAGCUUGAGCAAAUGCAACUUGGUGUGGUUGAGGACAAAGUACUUGCUCAUCGACUUGCUCUUGUGAAUGCUUGUCGUGUAGAGGAUUGCGAGAUGCAUGACGGUCUUGACGCGCUGCUCGGCGAAGAGUGUUCGAUGUCGGUGUACUUGAGCCGGAGAAGGUGUCGUCGGAGUGUCGACUUGAGCGUCUUCAUCUUGAGUACGAAGAAGUAGAAGGAGGACGGUUCACUAACAAGGCGCGGAUUUCGUCCAUCCUUGCAUCAUUCUCUUGCUUGUGAGCGUCGAGCUGGUUGUCGAAGUAGUCCUUGGUACGUUGCUCGGAGAGUCGCAAAUCGGUGGCGAGGUUGUCGAUGUGGUCGGUCAUAGCUUGUUGCUCUUGAUGCAACGCUCGUUGUGCACCAAAGAGGUGGCUCUUGGUGAUGAAUGAUGACAUGUCGUCGUCUUGCUCGAUGAAGAGUGGGUUGGUAGAAGUACUCGGCCUAUCCAUCAUUCCAAGCAAAAUGUGAGUGGGAGAAGGAGAAGAACUUAUACCAAUGUACCUUGACUGUUGACGAUGAAUCAAGUUCACUCAAAUGCGAACAAUGAAAUAGCACUAUUGGUACCAAUUCUUGUCGGUUCUCACACCUACACAAGUAAAAGCUUAUGGUGGAGCUUGGUUAUGAUGGUGGCACAAAAUUUAAUGCAAUUGUAAGUGAGCUUCAAUAAUGUUGGAAAAGAUUCACAAAUUUUCAAAUGCAACAAGUAGACCAAGCAAGUAGUGGUACACGGAAGCACACACGCAAAUAGAUAAGUGGGAUUGUGCAAACCAAAAGUGAGCCAAAAUGUGGAAACCACGAAAAUGCUCUUGUUGCACAAUACGCGAGAGACGCUAGCACGAUUGCACGAUAGGCGGAUACGGAACUUGUGCACAACCUACUAGGAAAAAAUGCAAUGACCUCUAUCCCAAGUAUGCUAUGGUGUUUCGGUGCUAUGAUCCAAGAUGAUCGGGUAUGACAAUCUUAAUGUAGUAUGAUGCUAUGGUUCUUGCUUAUAAGCUCUUUGCUUAUCUUUCCUCUUUGCUUAAAAGCUUGGUUGGCUCUUUCACUUUUGAGCUCUUUUCUCAUGCAAAACUUCACGAACCAAGAUAUCAAUUGUGUAUGCGAUGAUAACUUUGUGACACACAAAAUGAUGCCAAGAUAUGCACCACGAUGGUAUGGUAUGUAUGUUAUGGAGUAUGAUCACUAAUGUGCACAAGUCACGUUGCCGGCAAUACUCAAUGGCUAGUCUCGAUGGGUAAGCUAUGCAAAUGUAAGGCCAAGUGGGUAUCAAUGCAAUUGCAAGGUAUGACAAAGAUGCCGUCGAAGUUACCGUCCUUGGCGGUGAUGAGUAGUCGAUGGAGAUGAGCGGUGGUGUUGAUGACGUUGAACCGUACCUAUAUAGCCGAAACACAAUAGGACACGGGAACCACACCCAAAAUCUCAACGACCAAAACGUGUCAAAAUCGUCAUAGGAGGUAGCAGUGAGAGGUGGUGGUGCUUGUGGAAAGCGGUGGUGGUAAGCGGAAGUAAGCGUGGGCACCGGGGCUAAAUUGGGCAAAACUAGGCGGAAAAGGGCGCGGGGGAUGGAGUUGCAGCUGCCAGGGGCCGGAUGUCCAGGCCAGCUGCCGGAUGUCCGGGACGCCGGAUGUCCGGGGGACUCGGGCGGAUGUCCGGGCUCCUGGAUCGGGGACGAACACGAUGAACUCCACAGGAGAAAGGGCAACUCCGAGGCAAAAUUUGGACGAAUUUGUGGGUGGAAAUUGCGGGAGAGGUGGGGAAAAGCUAGAUCCACUCGAUGCAAAGCAGAUCCGUGGAUCAAAUCCAACAAAACUUCAACACACCAACAAAUCACAAAAAAAAAUUGGGGCUAUUUUUGGUGGGGAUUUUCGGAAUUAGGACGAAAACAACAAAAUCAAGCUAGAAAACACGGGGUAGGGGCUCCACAAACGUGAUCAAUGUGGCUCAUGAUACCAAGAUGAUGUAGGGCGGAACCCUAUGGGGCCGAUCUUUCACAUUUGGAGAGGAUCCUAUGGGGAAUAUGAAGAACGCGCAGAAGAACACGAGGGAAAACACGAGGGGAAACAAGAGAAACACUCAAGCGACACGAAACUGAUCACACAAGUGCUAGGUCAUCGAGGGCACAAAGUAACACGAGAUCCAAAGUCAACAAGGGACGAUACAAGAGUAAUCGUUCUUCUCCAUGAGGAGGUCUUGAUUGUCUUCUCCGGAUGGAGGCUUUGAAUCUGGAUGGAUCUUCUCCGAAGAGGUGCGGUCCCUCAUGAGGAGUAGAUCCGGUACGGAUGAGCAAUGCUCUAUCUCAAAUGAGCUAACCCAAUGCUAACCCUAAAACGUAGGAGGAGAUGGAGUAUAUAUAGUCCUCGGCCCUUACACUGUUCGUAGACAGGGAAGGCCGGAUGUCCGGCUGAAGGGCCGGAUGUCCAAGCUGGUGUAGACGGCCGUGCUGCUCUCUGGAUGGGCGGCGCCGGAUGUCCGGGCGGAGUGGCCGGAUGUCCGGGGCUUCGGGAGGCAUCGGAUGUCCUGGGUGAUGACCGGAUGUCCGGGCUGUCUGGGCCACCUUCUAUGCUCCCUGGAUGGUGCCUCCGGAUGUCCGGGCUGGAGGCCGGAUUUCCGGUGAGGAGGGACGGAUGUCCGGGCUGAACGCUGGAUGUCCGGGCCCUGUAGCUUCUGCUGCAGAUGCCUUGCGGUGGUGCAGAUCUCCAGGGGCCGGAUGUCCGGGACCUUGGCCGGAUGUCUGGUGCCUGGAGGUUGUUCUCACCUUCUUUCGUUGGUUCUCUUCUUCCGUGGACUUGGGGUCUUGANNNNNNNNNNNNNNNNNNNNNNNNNNNNNNNNNNNNNNNNNNNNNNNNNNNNNNNNNNNNNNNNNNNNNNNNNNNNNNNNNNNNNNNNNNNNNNNNNNNNNNNNNNNNNNNNNNNNNNNNNNNNNNNNNNNNNNNNNNNNNNNNNNNNNNNNNNNNNNNNNNNNNNNNNNNNNNNNNNNNNNNNNNNNNNNNNNNNNNNNNNNNNNNNNNNNNNNNNNNNNNNNNNNNNNNNNNNNNNNNNNNNNNNNNNNNNNNNNNNNNNNNNNNNNNNNNNNNNNNNNNNNNNNNNNNNNNNNNNNNNNNNNNNNNNNNNNNNNNNNNNNNNNNNNNNNNNNNNNNNNNNNNNNNNNNNNNNNNNNNNNNNNNAUUCCGGACUUAGGUAGUAACCAUGUCUCAACAGGAUCAUAUGAGAUAUCACUAAGGAGAGAAGUCACCUCAGUCUCGAGAGCUCUAGCUCGUGCUCUAGUCAUGGGUCCUCUUGGUUCUUGGUGAGACGAUGGAAGGUCCAUGGGGAUGACCGAAGGAUGCUCUGCAUCACGCGUUUAGUCUGCCAAGGGUGCAAACAAGUUGACGCCGUAGUGGGAAGGCCCUUACCUGGUAGUACGUGUCACCAGACCUGGCGUAGUCCGUCUAUAGACCGAGGAUGGCAUCCCAAUGCAAAACUCAUGGAAUAUGGAGCAUCUUCACAAGUUCUACCCGUAAGGCACGAUUGUCGGGCCUUGCCCCAGCAACCUGUUUUGUACAAGCAUAGUCCCGGGGACUUGUAACCCUUUGUACAAUUCCAGGCGCAUGCCCUGUGCAUAACUGAAUAAAGCAAAGUGUUUUCACAAAACUUGCAUGCAUGAUUUCUUGUUUGCUUAAGUAUGACCUUGUUGUGAUUACGCUGGUCCUUUAGAUAAGAUAACUGACAUGCUGUAGAGGGCUUUGUGCUACCAUUCUUCCUUUUUCCGGCAAUAAUAGAAGGAUUCCUCACGAGCAAUUUCUCGGGAGGAGGACCAGCCCGUGUGUUCAGUCCUGGCGACUCCUGUAUAGAACAAUAAGAAGAAGAGCAAAGAGAGAUAAGUUCACUUAGUUACAUCCUACCGUUCCAUGUUAUGCUUAUGUAUGAGAAACUUGCACGCAAGGAAAUCUUUGCCAUAUCUACCAGUCGUGCUCCUAUUCUUGAUUCGAGUCCACUCGAAAAGCUUAGUCGUAGCUGCAUUUGAGGAGAUCGACAAAGGACCAGCCUUUAGUCGCGCUCCUAACCCAUUUUGGGAGCUCACCAAACGAGGUUCGACAGCGGCUGCGUUAAAGGCCGGCCAGAGGCUUUGCCGGAAACUUCUUUUACAAAAGAAUAUUGAAGGCUUAUCCUUCGAUAUGUCUAAGUACAUAUGCAAGUAUCCGGCAAACUUCUUUUCCGAAUUGCGUGAACAAACAAGUACAAAUCAUAUGAGUAUCAACUUGGAUGAAGGAUUACAUAGAUUUGAUUCAAACUUGGCGAGUGCCUUUUUUGAUCUAAAAAGGUAAGUGCUCCGUAAUGCCUUUCUUUUCCCUCUCCUCUUAGGUUUUGCAUUGAGGAGGAAGGAGGGGAAAGGAGUGCCUGGGCAGAAGCCCAGCCUGACCCCAUCAGGAUCAGAGGGACGCAGCCCGACAAGAUCGGGAGAGCACCUCUUCGAUAAGGAGACGAAGCCAGAAGGGCGGAAGGAGCGGCUAGGCAAUGCCCUGGUCACCCCCGCCAGGACCAGAAGGACGCGGCUCCAGCAGGAAUACCGGUAGGGAAGAUGAAGCCAGAGUCCCUGAGGAAGCCUGCCGGGGUCCAGCUGGAGGAGGCGGAGACAUCCAUAUCCAGCACCCCCGGCAAAUCGCUAUGCCGGGGGAGGGCCUGGUGCAGAUGAUGGUGUUGCCGAUGCCUAGCUGACGGUGAUGGUGCGUCCGACGCUCAGCUAAAGUCCGGAUUGUCGCCUUCGUGCUUGACGACCCGGGGCUCGUUGUCGUCGUCCUCUCCACAGGUCUCCUCCUUGUCGCUAUCGCUCGAGGAGGAGCUUUCGUCAUCGCUCGAGCUUUCCAUACAGCAUCCAAGGCGAGCUCCUGAAUGCCCAAAGACCUUGAUGGAGAGCAGAUCAGCCUCCACCAACUUGAGGGAGAGAACAUGCCCCGCUGCAAGGGAGUGGGCGUGGGCGAAGGUCUUCCACCCGCGCCCAAGGAGCAUGGCGUGUGGCAUGGGGAACUCGACAUCCACCCACGCCUCGCCAUUGCGGCAGCCACUCAUGCGCAACCGCAGCCCAGGUGGCUGGUCAACCUCCAUCACCAUGGUGAAAGGACGAGGGAGUCGCAGGCGGUUAUGUGGAGGAUAACGCAGCUUGACAAUGAACUCCAACGUCGUAUCCCCAGCGUGGCCUUCUGUCAGUGUUGGAGCAGUAGAAGAAGAUGCGGCGAGCGCGUCGCUCCGUCCACCUCGACCACGGGCGCUGCGUCGACCCCGUCCGCGCCCCUCGGCUUCACCUUGUGCACUGGAUCCAGCCCCUGCCGCAGCAGUUGGGACAGGAACAUGGCGCCGAGGAGGAGUUCUCGUCGCCACUGAUGAGGCACAAGGGCGACCUCUUCCCCUCGCCAUAGUGGAAGCAGAGGUAUGGUAGGAGAAGAAGGAGAUGGUGGAUGAGCAUCGCUAGCCUCACACGCCUCCUUUUAUAAUGGAGUGGGGAAGGGCUGGCUCUCCUCUACUCUGGGGUAACCGCCCCACUUCCCCAAUUCAGCCCUCUGCAUUUCUAAUGGCGUCUUGAUUCAUCAGUCGCCCCACUACUCCAAUCCAAGGCGAUGUGCAUUCUGCCAAGGCACACGUUCCCAUGCCUCGCGCGUCUGUCACCAACCCCGCACAAUGCAUGCAGCGCGCGUGGCGGAAACGACAGGCGUAGUGGGUAGAGGGAAAGAUAAAAUGGCAGUUACCCCAGAUCAUGUGCGGGCGUCCUAAUGGUUUCCCGUGGGCGUGGGUGUCUCUUCGUGAGAAUCCUAGGGAAUGGCCCUGAUUCAGACCAAUGAAGAAGCAAAGAAAAUCUCAAAAGAUACUAUAUCCACUUCGGCAAGUUCAACACGAGCGCCUGCGUGUUUGUUGGGCCUACUCCAACAAUGCCCAGCGACAUGUACGAACCAGACCCGGGGGCUCCUGUCUGUGCAACAAACAUGUAUGUUUGCUACCCUGACAUCAACAUUAGACACAGAAUGAAGCUAGAGAAGCCACUCUUCGUGAGAUAAAGGAGCGCAUUAAGAAGACCAAGCCAACCCAAAGGUUCACAGGAAAGCCUCCCUUGCCGGACAAGCAGGCCAGUGGGGUCGAGGCCACACCUGGGACCAAGGCCAGGCCACCCGGCAGGAUUUCCGGGGCCGCCAGGGCCAAGGCCAAAACCCAAGCCAGAAGACCCGGCAGGCACCAUGCCGGCAAACCUCCACCGCUCCACCUCAUCAGAUCACUAGUCACUAAUCAGUGCGGUGUCAAGCUCUCGAGCGGCUAGGUGGAUCCUGUCAAGCACGUGGCGGCCCGCUGGAGGAAGAAUGACCUUUAAUGACACUCGUGCCAAAGGCAUGUCACGCAGAUACGAGGUAGCCAGGCAAGCGAUGGAGAAACCUUGUCAGGGUUACCCCUCCACACGACACCUAGUAAGUGCAUUUAAUGCUCCUUGUCCUAACUGCCAGAGUUAGGUAUGAUAACACUGCCAGCUAUCUAAUCAUGCUAUAAUGACCGUUUUGCCACUGUGGUCGCCCCUUAAGCUAUAAAAAGAGGCCCGAGGCAACCUAGCAAAGGGUUCGAAUCUUUGAUCCUGCAACACUUGUAUGAGCAUAGCUGCUCUCCCGAAGGCACCCUUGCCGGGCGUGUCUUCGUGUUCCUCCAGAUCAAUCCACCAAAGCAGGAGUAGGGUGUUACGUCGCAAAGCGGCCUGAACCUGGGUAAAAGAGAGUUGUGAGUCCCGUGUUGCCUUGCUGCCUCACCUCUUUGUGCAAUGCGGUCGUCCCUCGCCAAACUACAAAGGGGCCUCUCAGUCCCAUAGGUGAUCGUGGUCUGCCACGACAAAUUCCUUCUCCCAACACAAAUUGUCGAGUUCACCAUUCUCUAGAUGAAGUCUCGCUAGAAGAACUAGGAUCAUCUACAUUCUUCCCACGUGAACUAACUCGUCUUCCUUCUCCGACAAAUUUGCCAUGACUAACGGUCUCCCCGUCACUGCAUCCAACCCCUUGCUACCUCGCCUUCAAAGUGGUUGCAGGCAACGAGGGAACCAUUGAUCCCAACGGAGAGGUCGUACUCGGUGAACGCACAGCGGGCAACCACCAAAAGACUUGGGAACCCUAGGGGUGUGUGUGGGGGGGGUGUAAGCAGAACGCCUCAAUGAAUGGCAGUGGUGGUUGAUUCAAGAUAAAACUAUGGUCUAAUGGACUUGCUUGGCAGAGCUGACGAUCUGAUUGUAGUUCUAUGAUUCGAGAGAUAAUUGCAUCUAUAGUCCUCGUACUCGCUGGCUACGUCCACUUCAGUCCUGGUACUUGCGUAUUGCAUCGAUACGGUCCCGGUACAUGAAAAUACGUCGUCAAUACGGUCCCUGAGCUUGAAACGCCAGUCCUGGCUCUACACGUGCACGACGUACACCGUACUCCGCUGUAUGCCACGUCAGCCAGGGACCCACCAGUCAGCUCGGACCCACCCGUGGGAGUGGAUAAGGCUGUAGCCGUUUCGUCCUGGGGCAAAAAAUCCCCAAUUCCGCUCCCGCAAUCCCUAGCAUCUCGUCACCCAAAUCCUCCGAUGGGCGGCGCGAGCGUCACCUCCACCACCCUGUCUGGCGGUUCGGAGAGCGAAGACGGCGGCACCUUCUCUGCGGCGCUCGUCCCCGGAGGUGGAUCGAGUCGCAGCUUGCUGGCGCGGGCUUAUCCGCAGGAGAUUUGGCGUCGGGGCGAGCCUUGUCUCCGGCCGGAGAGAAGCCAUGUCAUGCUAACGCGCACUCCAUCCAUGGAUGCGUUUGAGGCUCGCCACCGCGGGCUCGUCCUACUGGCCACUGCUGUAGGAGACGGCGAGGAGGCUCUGACGCCGGCCGCACUGCUGGCCGCCAUCCAGGAGCGCUUUGGCGUGCUGCCGUCGGAGUUGAGCAUCGAGGUGGCCUGCCCCCCUCAUGACCUGUGGCUGUUGUUCUCAACGGAGGAGAAGUGCACGGUGGUGCUCCAAUCGUCGAUGAAGUUGAGGUGCUGCCGCCGGUGGAUCAAGUUUGAGCGCUGGGUAAGAGAGAUUCGCGGCACUCCGGCUGCUCUGGAGUACAAGUGCAAGCUUAGUUUCGAAGGCCUUCCCGAUCAGGCGUGGUCGAAGCAGUCAGUGAAAGGCCUGCUGAAGGACUUGGGCGGAGAGCUGAUAGAGAUCAUACCGCCGAAGAAUCGGCGCGAGCUGGAGGUAAUGGCGUGGCUCCGUGACCCAUCUAAAGUUGGCAAAGUGGUGGACGUGGAGAUACCCGAGCCUAUGCUGGCAUUGUGCACAGAUCCUCCUCCACAGUCGCUUGAAGAGUUCGUCGACCGUGAAAUGGCCUCGUCCUACGGUCCUUCGUCGCCGAGGAAGAAGAAGACUCUGUUGUAUCCUGUGAUCUGUCACAUGAAGGAGGUGACUGAUCGUGGUCCGCUGCUCGUCGAAGGCCUGCCUGAUGCAUGGCUGCCGAAUGAAGGGGAGGACCUGACUCGCAAGCACCGAUUCAGCACUGUGCUUGGACAAAUCGAUGGCAGUAUCUGUGAUUUCUAAGGUGUAAAGGAGUCUGAACCACUAUGUAUGUCUCAAAUGUAGUCUGUGAACCACUAUCUAUUUUAAGUGUGUCUUUUGUGAACUUGGUAUCUAAUAUUCAGUAAUUGUGAGACUAUGUAAGACUAUCUAUGUAUUGUUGAGAUGAUCUUCUAAUAUUGUACCUGUUGUGUCAUUAUGUGUUGUGUGAAAUAUUAUGUGCUUUGUCAAAAUGUGUUGUAUCUUACAAGUACAUUACAUACAAAAAGUUACUCAUCUGGAGCAUGAUCAUGAACACAAUCUGCAUACAUAAGCUGGAGUACAGAAUCUGCAUAUAUAAGGUGGAGUACAUUCCAUACUAAAAGUUACUGAUCUGGUGGUAACAACACAAAAUACAUGAUCUGGAGCAUGAUCAUAAGUAGAACACACAAAAAAACCAUCUACUUUCCUCGAGCUUGACCUGCAUGUCUCCUGUCCUACCUUAGUUCAUCGAACAUGCUAACUUUUCUAGGUUUUUUAAAUCCUCUCAUGUUGUUACUUGAACUUGGUGCACUUGAAGUUCCACUUCUCUUCAUUUGUGAUGGUUUGGACUGACAUGCAAGCAUCCUAUGUUCCUCUGCCAUUGCUUCUCUGAUUUGUUGGGCUUCCUUCUUGUUUCUCUCUUGCACACAUGCCUCAAAUCUUGUUUCUUCCUCUUGGUUUCUGUUGUGCUCCCAAGCUUCCUGCCUUGAUGCCUCCUGUGUUUGGAGAAAUAAUUGCCUUCUUUCCAACUCUUCAGCUUGAUUUAUAAGGAACAUUGCCUCCUCUGCAUCAUAUCACAGAAUUAUUUGACAACUCUUUAACUGCCUUUAUUAAACCCUGCAUGAAACAUAUCACAGAAUUAUUUGACAUAAACAUAACUCUUUAUUUGACAGAAGCAUAGCACAGAAUUAUUUGACAGAAAUAUAGCACACAAUAAGUAUUUGACAGAAUUAAAGACAUACUUUUUGCUUGUCUGACAUGAUUGUCCAUAACUCAGUGUUCACAAUUCCUAAAUCUUGCUUCAAUGCAGUUAGAAACCACCUCCAAGCUUUGGUGUCCUCACUCUGCAGCACUGCAUGUGCAAUAGGAAUAAUGCAAUCAUUGGGGUCCAUUCCUACUGCACUUAACAGAACACCUCCAUACUGUGUCUUUAAGUGGCAACCAUCUAGGAAAAUGAUUGGCCUACAAGCACAUAAGAACCCCCUCUUGCAUGCAUCAAAAGAGAAGUAGCACUUCUGAAAUUGUCCCUCUUCUGACAGUCCAAGAAGGAAAGUACUUCCAGGGUUUGAUCUCCUCAGCUCAUUUGCAUAGUCCCAUAGCAAGUUGUAUUGUGCAAUCUCAUCUCCAUAUAUGAUAUCAUAUGCAAUCUUCCUAGCUCUCCCCAGCUUGCCCCUUUUAAUUGUCAUGUUCCAAUCAUCUUGCACAAAAGCUGCAAAAGCCUUCAAUGAUAAUUUCUCACGUGCCCUGAUUUUGUCCACAUAUUUGUGAGCAAUGUACCUAGCUGUAAAGGCUGUAACUUGCCACUUUUUCUCACAAGUAUGUUCCCCAUUAAAUGUUUUCACCAUGACAGAAUUUGUUCUAUUAUCCCAAGAUGCAUACAUAUACCAGGGGCAACCCUUCUCACACUUUGCAGCAAGCCUGAUUUUGUCAUUCUUUGGAAAUGUGAUGUUAACUCUCUCUUUGCAACUAUACUCUCUCACAGCUUUCCUCAACAGCUCCACAGAAGAGAACAACUGCCCUGCAUGGAACUUAGGUUCUUGCAUGCCUGCUGCUGUGAAAGACUUGAAAUUGAAUUUCAUCUCAUCCUCAUCUGAAUCUGGAGCAUUUAAUUCCUCAUCUUCUGAGUUGCAAUCCUCAACCACCUUCUUCCCUUUCUUGUCAUGCAUUGGUUGCAACUCCUCCUGUAACAGAUCAUCAUCUCCAUCCUCCAAGUCAUAGUCACUAUCCACAAUCUCAGGUACAUAAUCACUGUCUGAGGAAUCUGAGUCUGCAUAUUGUUCUUCCUCCUCUUCUGUUUUUCUUCCCCUUGGUCUCAACUUCACAUAUAACUGUUGAGUGCUCUCAAUUUCAACACUUUCAUCCACAACACCACAAGAAACAUUGCUCUCACAGGGAUCUUUGUUCUCAGUUGCAUUCAUUUCCUUCUUCCUUGGGCUGAAAACAGGAGGGAUUUGUGCUGCUGGAUUAGCCACAACAUCAUCCCAUUCUGCUCCUCCUCCAGAAAUGUGGCUAUCUAAAUGAUCCAGGUAUAUCAUUUGAAAGUGGUGCCCUAGAUUUAUCUUUAGAUACAUACAGUCCACAUCAGUAUCAUUAGCCAAAAGCCGUGCAGCACCUUCAUUUAGCUGACAACCAGGGGGCAACCAAUAGAUAUCUAUUCUACCUGACAUUUCAUAACCCAAUUCCUCGACUAUUUCUUCAAACAUGCUGAAAUAGGUGAUGUCCUUAUGACAGUAAUCAAAGCAAACCUUAUGGCCAUCCAGAUAGCACCUAUUCUGCCCACUCCCAAAGAAAAAGCCUCCAUGGAUCACCUCAACAGUGAAAUAUCCACUUUCUCUAUCUGAAAAACAAUAAGAACAUCAAUUAUUUCAGAUAACUGAACAUUAAGAACAUAAAUAACUCAAACCCUAGAAUAAUUUCUGCAAAUUUGCAUACAGUCCACAUAUUCAUAGAACUAGCAUGGGCAAAACGGCCUAAUCACAGCAAAUAAACAUUUUUUCACCCCAAUUGUACAUCAAAUCGACCCAAGAACACUGGGUACUGACGUACCGUACGCCGGAGCCACCUCGCCGUCGGGCCGCCGUCGCCGGACCUGCAUCGCCGCCAAACUGCGUCGACUCCUUUCACCGGGCGUCCAACUUGCUUCAGCCGCCGCACGCAAUACGAACAGAGGGCGCACGAUACGCCGAUCAUCCGCCGCCGCACACCAUGGCCGCUAGGGUUGCUCUCUGCUCGCACUCCUCUGUUUAUCAUGGGGGGGGGGGAGAACAGGGGAGAUCGAGACGAGAACAGGGGGCAAUUUGCGAAAUAAUAGGUGGGGCUAGAGCUGACUGGUGGGUCCGAGCUGACUGGUGGGUCCCUGGCUGACGUGGCAUACAGCGGAGUACGGUGUACGUUGUGCACGUGUAGAGUCAGGACUGGCGUUUCAAGCUCAGGGACCGUAUUGACGACGUAUUUUCAUGUACCGGGACCGUAUCGAUGCAAUACGCAAGUACCAGGACUGAAGUGGACGUAGCCAGCAAGUACGAGGACUAUAGAUGCAAUUAUCUCAUGAUUCGACCAGCGAGUGUCCCCAUUCGGCUGAACAUAUUCAUCAUGAACAAAUUACUCACGAAAUCAAUAGUGUGCAGCAGGAGAAAAUGCCAAAACGCAUGCAAGAGAUCAUAUCGUCGUGGCUGACACAGUGUAGGUUUGUAGAGCAAAGCGCCAACAAAAACAUCGCACCGAUGGUAGCACAAUGGGUGUGUCUUAUAAGAUACGUAAUAUCUGUUCUAAGCAGCACACGACCAUGGAAACACAAAUCUUAUCUAUAUCCUGAUCGCAGAAUCUUGGCCACAAACAUCUCCAAGCUAAAAACACAAGAUAACAUCGAAUCGUAAUGGUUCCAGAUAAGUCUCCAUCAGCAGGCAAUACAGCAGACAGGAGGUACGAGAUUGACAAAGGCAGCACCAGUCAGAUCACCACAACCAAUAAUCGGGUUAACGACCUUCAAAUUACAUGAUGAUGUGAAUGCUCCACUCCGCCUAUGCUCCGUCGGUGAGGG